AUUGAACGCUGGCGGCAGGCCUAACACAUGCAAGUCGAGCGGUUGAGGUAGCUUGCUACCGAUGCAGCGGCGAACGGGUGAGUAAUACAUGGGAAUCUGCCUGGUAGUGGGGGACAACGUCUCGAAAGGGACGCUAAUACCGCAUACGCCCUACGGGAGAAAGGGGGGGAUCUUCGGACCUCUCGCUAUCAGAUGAGCCCAUGUCAGAUUAGCUAGUUGGUGGGGUAAAGGCUCACCAAGGCGACGAUCUGUAACUGGUCUGAGAGGAUGAUCAGUCACACUGGAACUGAGACACGGUCCAGACUCCUACGGGAGGCAGCAGUGGGGAAUAUUGGACAAUGGGCGCAAGCCUGAUCCAGCCAUGCCGCGUGUGUGAAGAAGGCCUUAGGGUUGUAAAGCACUUUCAGUGGGGAGAAAGGUAAUUCACCUAAUACGUGAGUUAAUUGAUGUUACCCACAGAAGAAGCACCGGCUAACUCCGUGCCAGCCGCCGCGGUAA
Molecule: ribosomal RNA, 498 nt
Filed under: uncultured bacterium
Lineage: Bacteria
Description: partial 16S ribosomal RNA
Rfam family: Bacterial small subunit ribosomal RNA
Source: RNAcentral